UUGGAGGGCAAGUCUGGUGCCAGCAGCCGCGGUAAUUCCAGCUCCAAUAGCGUAUAUUAAAGUUGUUGCAGUUAAAAAGCUCGUAGUUGAAUUUCGAGAUCAGUACGCUGGUCGUGCCUUCGGUAUGCACUGGUGUCACUGGUUUCUCCCUUCUGAAGAACCGUCAUGUCAUUAAGUUGGUGUGGCGGGGAAUCAGGACUGUUACUUUGAAAAAAUUAGAGUGUUUAAAGCAGGCUCACGCUUGAAUACAUUAGCAUGGAAUAACGGAAUAGGACGUUUGAUUCUAUUUUGUUGGUUUCUAGGAUCGACGUAAUGAUUAAUAGGGAUAGUUGGGGGCAUUAGUAUUCAAUUGUCAGAGGUGAAAUUCUUGGAUUUAUUGAAGACUAACUACUGCGAAAGCAUUUGCCAAGGAUGUUUUCAUUAAUCAAGAACGAAAGUUAGGGGAUCGAAGACGAUCAGAUACCGUCGUAGUCUUAACCAUAAACUAUGCCGACUAGGGAUCGGAUGAUGUUAAUUUUUUAAUGACUCAUUCGGCGCCUUACGGGAAAC
RNAcentral lists this ribosomal RNA (549 nucleotides) under uncultured Glomus. RNAcentral's name for it is "SSU rRNA". It matches the Rfam family "Eukaryotic small subunit ribosomal RNA", at positions 548 to 1098 of the family's 1831-position model. The record is from RNAcentral. Lineage: Eukaryota; Fungi; Glomeromycota; Glomeromycetes; Glomerales; Glomeraceae.